CAAUAGCGUAUAUUAAAGUUGUUGCAGUUAAAAAGCUCGUAGUUGGAUUUCUGGUGGAGCGAUCGGUCUGGCGCUUAGCGCGAGUACUUGCAUCGUCUCCGGCCAUCCUUGGGGAGAGUCUGUCUGGCAUUAGGUUGUCGGGCAGAGGAUCCUCAUCGUUUACUGUGAAAAAAUUAGAGUGUUCAAAGCAGGCUUAUGCCGUUGAAUAUAUUAGCAUGGAAUAAUAAGAUAGGACUUUGGUACUAUUUUGUUGGUUUGCGCACCAAAGUAAUGAUUAAUAGGGACAGUUGGGGGUAUUCGUAUUCCGUUGUCAGAGGUGAAAUUCUUGGAUUUACGGAAGACGAACUACUGCGAAAGCAUUUACCAAGGAUGUUUUCAUUAA
This 382-nucleotide ribosomal RNA is filed under the name uncultured eukaryote. RNAcentral describes it as "partial 18S ribosomal RNA". It matches the Rfam family "Eukaryotic small subunit ribosomal RNA", at positions 592 to 976 of the family's 1831-position model. The record is from RNAcentral.